RNA transcript from Numida meleagris (helmeted guineafowl), 6921 nucleotides. It is a transcript of the gene named doublecortin domain containing 2, with no coding region annotated. NCBI's taxonomy places the organism in Eukaryota, Metazoa, Chordata, Aves, Galliformes, Numididae. The record is from RefSeq and is a predicted model, not a curated record. The transcript has 12 exons.
AAAGGUCCCUUCCAACUCUGAGGAUUCUGUGAUUCAAAUGCCAAGGUUACUUGUUUUUUAGAACAUAGCAAAGUCUUUCUGGAAAGGAAGUUGAACGUGUCACCAUGUAGCUGAGCAUGCUUGGCUAUCACACGGCCCCUCGCGUUCCGGAGCUACCAUUCAUCGCAGGUUUGAAGCCCGGCCGGCGCUGCUCGCUUCUGUGGCUGCGGUGAGGAGGCUCGGCGCUUCCGCCGCCGCUGCCCCUGCAGGCAGCCGGCAGUACCCGGCCGUCCCGGCCACCGGGAGGAGGAGGAGGAGGAGGAGGAACGGGACUGCCCUCCUCAGCUUCACAUGCGAUCGCCUCGGGCCGGUUCCCUCUCCCCCGCUGCCCUGUGUCCUCGCGUCCCUCUCCUCGCCUCUGGGCACGACUUCUCCGCUUUCUCCUUUCCCCGGCCACCGCCCGAUGAAUAAUUCAACAGGGUUGGUGCUCGCUGCGCGCCUGUCCUGCUCGUGGUGGUGGUGAUUCUGGGCUCAGUCUGCCCUCACCGACGGGGCUCUCGUCUGGCCGAGCAGGGAUGAGAAUGGCCGGCGCGGGAUGAAGUUUCCAGAGGGAAUCGGCGUGACAGAGGCAAGCCGCAUUCCGUGAUGGCAAAGCCAGAGGACAAAGACCAUGGGAGGCCAUGGGGAUGCUCCCAGCCCUUCACUUUCCUGCCAUUUGGGAUAUGCCUCCGUGCAAUGUGUCGCUGCAUGGGUGAGUGCCAUCUGCACGAACCUCCCUGUGCACCAGUGCGGCAAGAUCUGGUUGCCUAGGAGGAGCCGCACCUGGAAAGGCUGAGCAGAGCCUUGCUGGGAGCCCAGAGGAGGCUGUGGUCCCUCCCCGCCGCUGCCGGCUGCCUCCUUUGCCUCUGGGAGGUGGGCCCUGGUGCCAGGCCCUGCCGUGGGCUCCCCCCGGCAGGCAGUUCUCAGAGAGGAGCCGAGUGGUGCUCAGGCAGCAACCUUCCCUUGGACAGACAAGUGCGGGCAGUGCCCCGGGCGGCUUUGGCUACGCAGGAGGACACCGAGCAUGACUAACCCCGGCACGAAGGGGUCAUUCCUCUCACAGCCGAUGGUGAAGAGCGUGCUGGUGUAUCGCAAUGGGGAUCCUUUCUUCCCGGGGCGCCGCAUUGUCAUCAAUGAGAAGAAAGUGUCCAACUUUGAGGUCUUCCUGAAAGAGGUGACUGGCGGGCUGAAGGCACCCUUUGGAGCUGUACGUAACAUCUACACGCCCCGGGCUGGGCACCGUGUCCGGCAGCUGGAGGAGCUGCAGAGCGGAGAGCAGUAUGUGGCUGGUGGCAGGGAAGCCUUCAAGAAACUGAACUAUUUGGACAUAGGAGAAACAAAGAAAAAACCUGCUGAAGUCAAUAAUGAGAUGCAGCUUAUUCAGAAUGGUUUCCAUAGAACAACUGUUUUUAAUGUCAAGCCAGUUACUCACAGUAGAAUCACUGUGUCAGCACGGUUUCGAAAACCCCUCCAGGAGCCCUACACGAUUUUCCUGAUUGCUAAUGGAGACCUUAUUAGCCCAAUAGUGCGACUCCUUAUUCCCAGGAAAACAUUGAAUCACUGGGACCACAUUCUUGAAAUGGUUACAGCAAAAGUUUCCCUCAGAAGUGGAGCUGUUCACAGACUUUACACUUUAGAUGGAAAACUUGUUCAGAAUGGGUCAGACUUGGAGAAAGGACAAUUUUAUGUUGCAGUGGGUAGAGAAAAGUUUAAGAAGUUACCAUAUGGUGAACUGCUGUUCAGCAAAUCUACAAUAAGGCCACAAGGUUCUAAAGCAUCCGUGCUACCUCCAAUUGUGGGAUCUCGAAAAUCUAAAGGCAGUGGAAAUGAUCGGCAGUCUAAAUCUACUGUUGGAUCCAGUGCCCCUGGGGAGAACAGCUCCUCACCUCAGCCUCCAAAAGAGAAGGCCAAAAAAUGCCAUAAUCCAGAGGAUUCUGUGUCCAGAGGACAUAGUUCUAACAAAUCUACAGAAGUAAAACAAACACCUUCCACAUCAUUUCUUCAAGAUAAUGGUGAAGGGAUUUAUGAAGCUAGAGAAAAGCGAUCUGAAAUGUGGGGGGCAGCUGAAGUUCAAGAAGAUGAAGACACUCGUGUAGAAGUUCCAUUGGACCAGAGGCCAGCAGAAACUGUAGAUGAAGAAGAAAACGCAGAAGAGGAAGAUGACAGGGGAGAGGAGGAAGCAUAUAAACAAAAGGGAGAACAUCCAGAAGUGAAUGGAGAGGAAAGUGGGGAAGUUGUUAUGAAAAGGAAUAGAGAAAAUGAGAAUAAAUUAAAUGGGAAUUAUGAACACAAAACAGAAGAAACAGAAAAUGUUGACCAGGCAGAGAAAGAGGAGCUUGCCCACUUAAAUGGCAAGAUAAAUGAAGAAAAUGGUGAGGGGAUGGAGCAGAUGAACAGCCAAGAUGAUCUUCAGCAUGAAGAGGACAUAAAAGAGGAUUAUUCUGGCAGUCAGAACCAGGCAAGCUGAAGUUAUUAAUGGCAAUGGAGAAAGUGAGUGAGCAUUCACUUUAGAAGGAUAUGUGGGUAACUGGAUGUUUGAUGAUUUGAGGGGAAAAACCUCUAAUUUGAGUACUUUCUCCUUUGGAAGGUUGAUUCUCAUCUUGAAAAAACAUCCAGAAAUCCAAGGGUAACAAUCACUAGCCCACAGGAAAGUGAAAGAAAGGACCAGAGCAAUGACUACGCUGCAGUUGCAUAGAUAUAAGAAAAUGUAAUUAAUGAAAAAAGAAAUAUUAUAAUACUUUCAAGCAUAUUAUCUUUUGUGAUUUAAAACUUAAAAUAGGAAGAUAGAUUGAGUACCCCAUACUGAAUGUUGAGAUGAUAAUGGCAUAUAGAAUAGGACAUAAAGUUUAAUAUCUACUAAACAACAUUGAAUUAUUUUCACAAGAUGUGACUUUCUGAUAGAAUUUGAGAGGAAAAAAUGUAAUAUUACUGUAUAGUAGUGUUAGAAACAUUAGAAAUAAAGUAUUUUGUGGUAUAAGACGAUUAUCAGUAGCAGAGUCAACUAUAUAAAUGACAUUUUUCAAGAAAAAGGGUAAAUAAACAAGUUAAAUGUCAGAACUUCUUUGCAGGUUUGUUUAGAAAAGAGAAAACAAAUGUGACUUUUAAGGAGGACAUAAGUAGUUUUUCCCAUUGAAAUUCCACAUGAUAUACUCUAUUUCCAGGCAUAACUUUAAGAUAGAAAGAAAAUGCUUUGCUCACUUAAAGGACAGAAAAUGAGAUGUACUAUGAGUCCUAAUAUUACUGGAUAGUGGCUUUUCCGUAUAUUAAUUGGAAUUGUUCGUUUUUUCCAUUCUUAAAUAGCACUUCUUAAUCAUUGUGAAGAGAGGCUGAAAGCCUACAAUGCUGCAGCUUAUUCCCACUUGCAACAAUAAGUUUUGUUGAUUGUCCUGCACCAGUUCACUAAGCAGUGAAUUGUUAUUAUAGUGAAAAAAGAAUAAAGCAAGGGCAUGCAGCAGAUCAGAUAUGUAGCAGAUCAAUUUGAUUGCAUUUCAGUCCAAGUGAAACCUAAUUUAUUAAUGAAAAAAAUGAUGAGGCCCAGAUUCAGACUGAAAUUAGCAUGAAAUCAUUGCUAUCAAUGAAACCAUUUUAAUAUGAAACACCUUAAUAUAAGAUUAUCAGUUUAAUGUAAAAUUCAGCAACUGUUGUUGUGUUUAUGAAUCCCUUCCAUAGCCUUAAUGCAUGAAAACAUAUUAUCAUCUUUUUGAGUAAGCAGUUUCCUGAUAGGUUGUGGCUUAAUUUGCGUUAGAAAAUAAGGCACUGAUCCCCAGUAUUUGUUCUCUCAAUGACAUCAACCCCAUUCCUCUUACCAUUUCUCUGUUAGUAAUAGCAAUUAUUUGUAGAUCAUGAAAUACAGCCCUGAGCAUAAUUUCAUUAAUUAUACAAAAGAUAUAGUGGAUUUCUUUAUCAUUAAUGCUGGUAAAUUACGACGAAGAGAAAUUAAAUGUCAUUUUUGUUGAUUUCAUGCUAUUAAGACCAAAAUUACAUUCAGGAACAAAUUGAACUUGAAGCACUGUAUGAAGGAAGUGUAGAAAAAUUAUUGUGACUGAAACUCAUAGAAAUAUCUGCAUUUUUUUACCAACUAUUAAAUACAUUUUUCCAGUGCAGAAGAAAUAUGUAGAGAUCCUUUAGCAUGUUCCUGAGUAUUGGCAAUGUGAGUUUAAAAUAACGUAACUUUAAAUAACACAGGAACAAGGUUAGAAUGGUUUGCUCUACUGUAACUCUGAAAUAUCUUUGAUUUACAUGGCCUUUUUUGAACUGUCUGACAAAGUAGAGAAAUAUUACCUAUGUAUUCUGUUCAAAAUAAGAUCCUAAUUUAGCCAAGAAUUAGGCAAUUAUUUUAUUUGAUGCAUUUUAAGAUGAUUUUUGAAGAUAAGUGGAACUAAAAUCUACCAACGACAAAAUAAAGCCAAAACAGUAUGGAUAAAAUAACUGCAAGUGUUAAUGAGGAAAAUGACAAAUUGUAAUCCUCUGGGUACCUUUAUAGGUAAUCUUGCAUUGGAAUUAUAUAUGCGGUAGCAUUAAAAGCAAUCAAACCAUGCUUAACUAGCCAGACCAGGAAGCUCUGUCUCAGAGUACCUUCUGAAACUUCUUGUAGAGCUCGCCAAGGAAAAUGGCUAGUGCUCCAUCUUCACUUCUUUAGAGCUGAAUAGCUCAACAAUAAGCAUGGUCUUAAGUGUGCUUAAGAAUUGAGACAAAUGACAGUGGUCUUGUAUUGACACUACUGUGAAGAGUUGCUUGAAGUUAGUGGUGUACCCAAAUUCAGGACUCUACUUCUUGUCAUCUUAGCGCAGGUGAAGGCCUGAGCAACCUCAGAGAUGAUCUUCAUCCUCAGAAAUCUGAAAUUAAAUUGGCAACCAAACAUGUCUGAUAAAUUAAUCUAGAGAACGUUUUCCUCAAAAUGUUGUACUUUGAAAAAAUAUUUAGAAGAAACAGUUUUGUAUAGAGAUUCUCUGUUUUCUAUUCAUAACUUCUGUCUGCUGUUUCUGUCAUUUCUUCCCUUUUCUGUCCAAGUUCAGCAUCCUCAGUGCUUAAAGGCCUACAAAUAUCAGUAAGAGUUAUCUAAAAGCUUAAAGUAAAUUCUAAGGAACUGUAAUGUGAUACUUGUCUUUCACGAGAACAUGAAAAUCCCAGUGAGUGUUACUCAGCCUUUAAAAUGUUUUCCUCUCUGCUGUUCAUCUUGUAAGAGAGAUUGAAUAUUGUUCUUCAGAAUAUGAAACUGGACUUUGGGAAAACAGAGAGAGAGCCAUUUCAUCAUUCACUCUCACAGUACUGAAAACAUCUACUUUCUAUCUGCUUCUCUUGUACAGAGAAAAUUAAUUUAUGCAUAACAAAUAGUUCUGAUGUUAACAGAAAUUAAUCAAGAAGCAUAUGUGUGGUCUUUGCUAAAAAUAUUUUUGUGUAUGUUAAUUUGCUGUGAUGACUUAAAUUGGUUUUACAUGAGAAAUGUUCUUUUUUCCUUAAGCUUAUAGAGUGUUACUUUAUUAAGCGUCUAUGCAAUAUAUAUAUAUUUUAAGAUAUUUCCCUUUUUUUUGCAUUAUUUUUAAAAACAGUUUGCCAUUAAAAAAGAACUAGCACACAGACAGUUCUGCUUUUAUCUCAAAUCAAGGCCAGUUUGACAUUAAUUUUAGCUUUGGAUGACUGAUGUUAUGAAUAAACCUAGUGUUUUUUUCAGCUGUUAGGAUCCUUCCAUCACUAGAACUUCCAAAAAGUCAGAUUUUGUAGUUACGGUAUUGCAACCAUGAAAGAAAGCAUGCUUAUGUUCAGCUCUUAUUAUAGCCCACAAAUAAAAGAAUUAAUUCCUAAUUUCAGCAAACCUCUACAGCACAUACUUAAAUCCCACAAAUAUGCAGUUUUCAUCAAAUUUUAUUUAAUGCUUCUGUGAUCUGACGUAUCAGAGACAAAAUAAUGUUAAUUUCUGGAAAGAAAAGGGUGAAAAUGAAGAAGAUUAACUCCUCUCUCUGUCUCAGUUUCAUCCAAAUCUGCAUGCAGAAAAAUAAAACAACAACAUGUAAGUGUUACUUGAAAAUACUGAGAAAAGGAGAGUUGCAUGGGUAUUUUGAUUAAUUAUUCCAAAGGUACAUUAAAAUAACUAUUAGAUAAUAAAUGCAAAUACAAAAUGAAAUAUCUCAAGGAAAAAUCUAUUCAUUAAAUUGUGACAAUCAGAAUGAUUGUAUGAGAUACAGCUCAAGGAUGUUUUGGGUGGCUCAUAGUUUUCAGUCUGAAUUUUAGUCGAAAGAAGUGCUUUAGACAUGGCAAUAGACAGGUAAGCCACCUGAUAUGAUACAGAAUACUGAUACAGUAUUCUUCAUGGACACAUUUGCAAGCAUUAACUUAUAUAAACACUGUAACUGAAUGCAUUUGUUUGUACUCAUGCUGCACAUGCAACUAACCCGUGUAUAUGGUAGUCUAGCAGUGUUCUAUUUUAAUAAUGGGAGAAAUACUAUUGAUUGUCAGUGAAAUUUACUAUAACCUUGGGGAAAAAAAAUCACAAAAUCUAGCAAUAGCAAACCUUAUGAAAGGAUGGUAUUUUGUUUAAGUUAUGUACGUACUUUUGUUCUUUGCUGAGCCAAGUUCAGAAUGCUUAAAACACUGAAGUGAAAUGGAAACAGCAACCUAAAACUGCCUGGGAAGAAUUUUGGUCAUAAGAAAGUGGAAAGGAUAUGGAAAAUUCAAGUAAGAAAGUAAGUAUCUUUACUGCAGCAUGUGACAGCAAAGCUUUCAAAGGUCUUUAGUCCUAGGCUGCUGCAUAGAGGACUUCUGCCUUAAACAAUGGGAUAUUUUGAUACAGCAGGCAGACAUCCAACAAUCUAUGCAGUAACUAUGAGUACCUUUAAAUGUUCAUAUUUUCCUUGCAGAUGACACUUAGUUCUAAUACUUACAAUUUAAUAAAUUAAACUAAACACA